Non-coding RNA from Acanthosepion pharaonis, 103 nucleotides. The record is from the annotation of a GenBank genome assembly. Lineage: Eukaryota; Metazoa; Mollusca; Cephalopoda; Sepiida; Sepiidae.
UAUGGCCAUAUCACGUUGAAACACCGUUUCCCGUACGAUGACCGAAGUUAAGCGGCGUCAAGCCUGGUCAGUACCUUGAUGCGUGACCGCUGAGGAAUACUAU